UAGGGAAUCUUCCACAAUGGGCGAAAGCCUGAUGGAGCAACGCCGCGUGUGUGAUGAAGGGUUUCGGCUCGUAAAACACUGUUGUAAGAGAAGAAUGACAUUGAGAGUAACUGUUCAAUGUGACGGUAUCUUACCAGAAAGGAACGGCUAAAUACGUGCCAG
RNAcentral lists this ribosomal RNA (162 nucleotides) under uncultured bacterium. RNAcentral's name for it is "partial 16S rRNA". It matches the Rfam family "Bacterial small subunit ribosomal RNA", at positions 355 to 511 of the family's 1533-position model. The record is from RNAcentral.